RNAcentral lists this long non-coding RNA (648 nucleotides) under Danio rerio (zebrafish). RNAcentral describes it as "si:dkey-81l17.7 (ENSDARG00000097378.2)". Lineage: Eukaryota; Metazoa; Chordata; Actinopteri; Cypriniformes; Danionidae. The record is from RNAcentral.
CGUCAUGUGCCGUGAUGGAAACCUUCGCAUCCCAUCUUCUCGUCCUACAAAAGGGGUUAAACGACGCGUUUCUUACCGCUGAACACCAUCGCUGAGGAGGCACCCAUCACUGCGAAGAAGGGAGAGUACUGGGGGUUCUGGGUGUCCAUUCUUCUCGCGCGUUCGGGAGACUAAAACUAAAGGCAGAAAAGGGAGGAAAGCUUCAGUCUAGCAGGUUUAGACUCUGAGUGAGGUCUUCUUUUGGCUGACAGGUCUUGCAGGAGCAGGAGAGACGGUCACGAACCCGACAGGAGGCUGGUCGCCGGCGGAGAGGAAGAAAAUGGCGAAAUGAAGAGAGUCACAUGAUCAAGACAUGAGUGCAGGGUCCAUUUCCGCUUCUGCGGGGAUGACUUAUGAGUGCGCAAGAUAUUUCUUUUUAGGAUUGUGCAAUGACUGACUGUCACGGGAUCGCAUGGAUGAUUUUUUAUAGCGUUUUAGUAGAAUUGCAUGAACGUAAAUAGUUUUGUUCGAGCAUUCGAUGGUUUUGUCGUUUUACAGACACCCCUAUUUUGUAAGCAUUUUUGGUACGUUCCAUUGCAGGCUUCCACUAUGUUGUGUGAACGAUCUACAGGCUAUCCAAGAUCAUUGGAAGAAUAUUGUAUUGGAAAC